GAGUGUUCAAAGCAGGCCCUUGCUCGAAUACGUUAGCAUGGAAUAAUAAAAUAGGGCGUGCGUUUCUAUUUUGUUGGUUUCUAGAGACGCCGCAAUGAUUAACAGGAACAGUCGGGGGCAUCAGUAUUCAGUUGUCAGAGGUGAAAUUCUUGGAUUUACUGAAGACUAACUACUGCGAAAGCAUUUGCCAAGGAUGUUUUCAUUAAUCAGUGAACGAAAGUUAGGGGAUCGAAGACGAUCAGAUACCGUCGUAGUCUUAACCGUAAACUAUGCCGACUAGGGAUCGGGCGAUGUUCUUUUUCUGACUCGCUCGGCACCUUACGAGAAAUCAAAGUUUUUGGGUUCUGGGGGGAUUAUGGUCGCAAGGCUGAAACUUAAAGAAAUUGACGGAAGGCCACCACCAGGCGUGGAGCCUGCGGCUUAAUUUGACUCAACACGGGGAAACUCACCAGGUCCAGAUGAAAUAAGGAUUGACAGAUUGAGAGCUCUUUCUUGAUUUUUCAGGUGGUGGUGCAUGGCCGUUCUUAGUUCGUGGGGUGACUUGUCUGCUUAAUUGCGAUAACGAGCGAGACCUUACUCUGCUAAAUAGCCAGGCUAGCUUUGGCUGGUCGCCGGCCUCUUAGAGAGACUAUCAACUCAAGUUGAUGGAAGUUUGAGGCAAUAACAGGUCUGUGAUGCCCUUAGAUGUUCUGGGCCGCACGCGCGCUACACUGACAGAGCCAACGAGUUCUUCACCUUGGCCGAAAGGUCUGGGUAAUCUUGUUAAACUCUGUCGUGCUGGGGAUAAAGCAUUGCAAUUAUUGCUUUUCAACGAGGAAUGCCUAGUAAGCGCGUGUCAUCAGCAUGCGUUGAUUACGUCCCUGACCUUUGUACACACCGCCCGUAAGGGCG
RNAcentral lists this ribosomal RNA (891 nucleotides) under uncultured bacterium. RNAcentral describes it as "SSU rRNA". It matches the Rfam family "Eukaryotic small subunit ribosomal RNA", at positions 769 to 1683 of the family's 1831-position model. The record is from RNAcentral.